Molecule: ribosomal RNA, 1465 nt
Filed under: uncultured organism
Description: SSU rRNA
Rfam family: Bacterial small subunit ribosomal RNA
Source: RNAcentral
CGCUGGCGGCGUGCCUAAUACAUGCAAGUAGAACGCUGAAGAGAGGAGCUUGCUCUUCUUGGAUGAGUUGCGAACGGGUGAGUAACGCGUAGGUAACCUGCCUUGUAGCGGGGGAUAACUAUUGGAAACGAUAGCUAAUACCGCAUAACAAUGGAUGACACAUGUCAUUUAUUUGAAAGGGGCAAUUGUUCCACUACAAGAUGGACCUGCGUUGUAUUAGCUAGUAGGUGAGGUAAUGGCUCACCUAGGCGACGAUACAUAGCCGACCUGAGAGGGUGAUCGGCCACACUGGGACUGAGACACGGCCCAGACUCCUACGGGAGGCAGCAGUAGGGAAUCUUCGGCAAUGGGGGCAACCCUGACCGAGCAACGCCGCGUGAGUGAAGAAGGUUUUCGGAUCGUAAAGCUCUGUUGUAAGUCAAGAACGGGUGUGAGAGUGGAAAGUUCACACUGUGACGGUAGCUUACCAGAAAGGGACGGCUAACUACGUGCCAGCAGCCGCGGUAAUACGUAGGUCCCGAGCGUUGUCCGGAUUUAUUGGGCGUAAAGCGAGCGCAGGCGGUUUGAUAAGUCUGAAGUUAAAGGCUGUGGCUCAACCAUAGUUCGCUUUGGAAACUGUCAAACUUGAGUGCAGAAGGGGAGAGUGGAAUUCCAUGUGUAGCGGUGAAAUGCGUAGAUAUAUGGAGGAACACCGGUGGCGAAAGCGGCUCUCUGGUCUGUAACUGACGCUGAGGCUCGAAAGCGUGGGGAGCGAACAGGAUUAGAUACCCUGGUAGUCCACGCCGUAAACGAUGAGUGCUAGGUGUUGGAUCCUUUCCGGGAUUCAGUGCCGCAGCUAACGCAUUAAGCACUCCGCCUGGGGAGUACGACCGCAAGGUUGAAACUCAAAGGAAUUGACGGGGGCCCGCACAAGCGGUGGAGCAUGUGGUUUAAUUCGAAGCAACGCGAAGAACCUUACCAGGUCUUGACAUCCCGAUGCUAUUUCUAGAGAUAGAAAGUUACUUCGGUACAUCGGUGACAGGUGGUGCAUGGUUGUCGUCAGCUCGUGUCGUGAGAUGUUGGGUUAAGUCCCGCAACGAGCGCAACCCCUAUUGUUAGUUGCCAUCAUUCAGUUGGGCACUCUAGCGAGACUGCCGGUAAUAAACCGGAGGAAGGUGGGGAUGACGCCAAAUCAUCAUGCCCCUUAUGACCUGGGCUACACACGUGCUACAAUGGUUGGUACAACGAGUUGCGAGUCGGUGACGGCGAGCUAAUCUCUUAAAGCCAAUCUCAGUUCGGAUUGUAGGCUGCAACUCGCCUACAUGAAGUCGGAAUCGCUAGUAAUCGCGGAUCAGCACGCCGCGGUGAAUACGUUCCCGGGCCUUGUACACACCGCCCGUCACACCACGAGAGUUUGUAACACCCGAAGUCGGUGAGGUAACCUUUUGGAGCCAGCCGCCUAAGGUGGGACAGAUGAUUGGGGUGA